This 253-nucleotide ribosomal RNA is filed under the name uncultured bacterium. RNAcentral describes it as "partial 16S ribosomal RNA". It matches the Rfam family "Bacterial small subunit ribosomal RNA", at positions 524 to 776 of the family's 1533-position model. The record is from RNAcentral.
UACGUAGGGUGCAAGCGUUGUCCGGAAUUAUUGGGCGUAAAGAGCUCGUAGGCGGUCUGUCACGUCGGCUGUGAAAACCCGAGGCUCAACCUCGGGCCUGCAGUCGAUACGGGCAGACUAGAGUUCGGUAGGGGAGACUGGAAUUCCUGGUGUAGCGGUGAAAUGCGCAGAUAUCAGGAGGAACACCGGUGGCGAAGGCGGGUCUCUGGGCCGUAACUGACGCUGAGGAGCGAAAGCGUGGGGAGCGAACAGG